UCCCUGGCGGCCCAGUGGUUAAGACUCUGUACUCCUGAUGCAGGGGACCCGGGUUCGAUUCCUGGUCAGGGAA
Molecule: non-coding RNA, 73 nt
Organism: Mesoplodon densirostris (Blainville's beaked whale)
Lineage: Eukaryota; Metazoa; Chordata; Mammalia; Artiodactyla; Ziphiidae
Source: the annotation of a RefSeq genome assembly